GAUGAACGCUGGCGGCGUGCCUAAUACAUGCAAGUCGAGCGAACGGACGAGAAGCUUGCUUCUCUGAUGUUAGCGGCGGACGGGUGAGUAACACGUGGAUAACCUACCUAUAAGACUGGGAUAACUUCGGGAAACCGGAGCUAAUACCGGAUAAUAUUUUGAACCGCAUGGUUCAAAAGUAAAAGACGGUCUUGCUGUCACUUAUAGAUGGAUCCGCGCUGCAUUAGCUAGUUGGUAAGGUAACGGCUUACCAAGGCAACGAUGCAUAGCCGACCUGAGAGGGUGAUCGGCCACACUGGAACUGAGACACGGUCCAGACUCCUGCGGGAGGCAGCAGUAGGGAAUCUUCCGCAAUGGGCGAAAGCCUGACGGAGCAACGCCGCGUGAGUGAUGAAGGUCUUCGGAUCGUAAAACUCUGUUAUUAGGGAAGAACAUAUGUGUAAGUAACUGUGCACAUCUUGACGGUACCUAAUCAGAAAGCCACGGCUAACUACGUG
RNAcentral lists this ribosomal RNA (497 nucleotides) under uncultured bacterium. RNAcentral describes it as "partial 16S ribosomal RNA". It matches the Rfam family "Bacterial small subunit ribosomal RNA", at positions 28 to 507 of the family's 1533-position model. The record is from RNAcentral.